Gorilla gorilla gorilla (western lowland gorilla) is the source of this 5895-nucleotide long non-coding RNA. RefSeq lists it as uncharacterized. The record is from RefSeq and is a predicted model, not a curated record. NCBI's taxonomy places the organism in Eukaryota, Metazoa, Chordata, Mammalia, Primates, Hominidae. The transcript is spliced from 3 exons.
UGCUCUGUCGCCCAGGCUGGAGUGCAGUGGCGCGAGCUCAGCUCACUGCAAGCUCCGCCUCCCGGGUUCACGCCAUUCUCCUGCCUCAGCCUCCCGAGUAGCUGGGACUACAGGUGCCCACCACCAUGCCCGGCUAAUUUUUUGUAUUUUUAGUAGAGACGGGCUUUCACCGUGUUAGCCAGGAUGGUCUCGAUCUCCUGACCUCAUGAUCCGCCGGCCUCGGCAUCCCAAAAUGCUGGGAUUACAGGCGUGAGCCACUGCGCCCAGCCACAUCUGGCAGGUUUCAAUCCCGGCCUUGCUUCUCGGGUAACAGGUGCCUAUUUUCCCUAUCUCUUUGUAAAACAGAAAGUGUUGUAGUAAACAUUAGUGCUCAGAAAGUAAACUGAAAAUGUAGAUGGAUUGCCACUUUGAAUCGGAAGCUCCUAAAAUCUUCUAGCUGAAGAAAAACAUAGAGUUGAAAACUGGAUUUGCUGCUUUUCUGGAAAAAUAAAAAUAUGAAGGCAAUUAAAGAAAAAAACCAUAUCAUGCCCCAAAUUACGAAAAGAACUGGCAUUUGCAAAGAAUAACAUCCUCACUCAGGCCUCAUGUUGUAAGUGAGGAAACUACGAAUCAAAGACAACAAGCAGCCCUCUGCUUAGCUCAGCUCCCAGGAACCAUUCUCUUCCCAGAGCACAUGUUCUGGAGGGGCCUGGUUUUCCAUCUUCUCUGGCCUCGGGAUAUUUGAAGGCAAUCUGGGUUGGUCCCAGCCUUUCCAGCACCUCCUUUCUCCAGCUUGGACUAGAAGCUCUUGGCGUGUGUCACCUGUUUCUGACAUGACAUGGGUUUGAACUCCUUCUUUCCCAGUGUGCCCCACAGGGGAAGUCUCUAGAGCCAGGCCCACCCGGGGACAGCAGAGCAGAGCCCUCCCUCUACCUCCAGGACCUAAAUUCUGCAGUAGGGCCACCUGCCCUGACACCUUCCAAAAGGGUCAUGGUAGAAGAUAUGAAGCAGAAGUCUGCGAGGAUUUCAUCUUCCAACUUUGAGGACCGGGUAUCUGCCCACCCACUCCCAUUUCGCCUUGUCUUUAGUGGAAGCUGGGCUGCACCUGGAGCUGGUGGGUCUGUGGCUGAAGAUCUGCCUUGUACAGCAGCAGCAGGCUCCCCUCCUCUCCUCUUGCUUGCCUGAUGUGGUUGCACUCACCAUGUUUCUUAACUUUUGUAAAAUUCUACAGUGGAAUCUUCAGGACAAGGCCACUGAGUGGUCUCCUGGGUAUUUCCUGUUACUUCGACCAUCCCUCACUGGGCACUGGCCCACUCUGCCUUUAUUUCCAGGGAACGUCCUCCUCAGGUAAAACAUAGCAGAACACAGAUAACACUCUAGCUGAUUUCUUGGUUUUUGAAUCUGAAAAGUCUGGACCCUGGCACAGAACUCACAAUGGGCCCCAGAAAGGAUUUCUUGAGUGGGAAGCUGGACAGCUGGAGGGGAAGUGGGCCCCGAGAGUGGUGGCCCUCCCCAGGGACCCUGUAUUCUGCCCCUCAUGCCCUGGGCUGGGGGUGGAGGUGAGGCUGGGGGCUGACCUCAGAGUGCCCAGCGUGGAGCAGGGACAGAGGAGAGGUCUGCGGGUGUGUCUGGAGGACCAGGUUGGGAGCCUUGUGGAGGUUUCUGUCCUGGAGCCAUGAAACGUUUCCUGGACACCCAAGGGCUGCAUGGGUGUGGCAGGGGAGAGGUGUGAGGGGCAGCCAGGACCUGCCUGUAUCCCAACCAGAGGGCCAGCAGGGUGUCUCCACAGCACCCCGCAUGAGUGGACCGUGAGGCGCCACCCACCCCCAGGCGAUCCUCCUGUCUCCUGUGGAAUCACAGGGACCCCAGGUUGGUGCAGAGCAUCUCUGCCAGUGCAGAAUGGGGCUUCUCAUCGAGGUCAGCUCACCUACAGAACGAGGAAGUUAUGUUUCCUACACACUUGCAAUCGGGAACUGAGCUCAGCGCCCACUAUGCAUUUAGCAACAAUCACAUCUCUCCUCUGAGUUAAAAUACCUGUUAUGGGUAAGAGCAAGACGGAAAAUACAGCUGUGCAGGGAGACCAGCUUCCUCCUUGGACAUGCAGGAAGCCCAUUUUCCAGAUGGCUGUGCCUCAUAUUUCAGGACAAAUGCUAAGGUGAUGAGGGGUAAGGAAAAAUACGUAAGCUUUUUAUUCACUUAUUCACUCAGCAUUUAUGGAGCAUCUGCUAUGCCGGGAAAUACAAUGAUGAAUAAAAUAGACAAGGUUGCCCAGCAACAUGUGCAUGGAGAUUUCGUCUUUUCUGUGUACAACCCCAGCCCCAGGAGGCAAGCCCGCUGGGACACACAUCCCGCGAUGCUGAGUAGAGGAACUCUAAAUAUGCCUCCUCGUAUCAACCACUGACCUUGUCCCUGGGGUGUGCCCUCGGCCAUCACUCUUGAGGAAUGAGGUGGAUCCCGAGUUCUACUUGCUAGUCCAAAUGUUUUUCUCGUAUGGGUCCUGCCACAGAUUUCCUGAAGGUGUGUCACAUUUCCAGUUGAACUUACCCAAGCAUUCACAAUCAUGGGUGGGACUAAAGUAUAUAUUGCCACUCUUUUCUUUAAAGACAAGAGAACAGGCCCAGUGACCUGUUAAAUGAAGAGGUGACAUGACAUGAGGUGUGGCAGGACUCAGCUUUUCCUUUCUUUAAUAACAGCUUUGUUGAGAUAUAACUUGCAUACCAUAUGCCUUUACCAACUUAAAGGGUGCAAUUCAAUGUUGUUUAGUGGAUUAGAGUCGUGUAACCAUCGUCACGAUAGAUGUGAGAACAUAUUUAUCACCCUCCAAAAAGCCCUGUACCUCUUAGCAGCCACUCCGCCUUUCUCCCUCCCACCCCCAGUCAUUGACACCCAGAAAUCUAUUUUGUGUCUCCCUAGAUUUGCCUUUUCUGGAUAUUUCUUGUAAACGGACUCAGACAAAAUGGAUCUUCUGUGUCUGGCUUCGUUCACUUAGCCUAAUAUUUUCAAGGUUCAUUGCAGAAUGUAUCAGUGAAACUUGUACCAAUACUUCAUUUCUUAUCAUGGCCAAAUAACAUUCCGUUGCAUGAAUACAGCACACUAUUUAUUCACUCAUCAGCUGAUGAACAUUUAGAGUGUUCUGACUUUUUGCCUGUUAUGGAUAAUGAUGCCAUUCAUAUACAGGUUGAGCAUCCCUAAUCCAAAAAUCUGAAAUCCAAAAUGCUUCAAAAUGUGAAACUUUUUGAUCAUGAACAUGACACCAGAAGUGGAAAAUUCUCCACCUGACCCCAUGUGACGGGUCCCAGUCAAAAUGCAGGCGCACAACACAGUUGAUUCAGCGUCCCUAAGUGAAAACACAUCCCCCUUCAGCUGGGAAAUAUCUUUCCAUAACAUGCCCCAACUCCCCCCAGGACAGCACACCUACAAAGGGUAAUAAAAUGGCAAGUGUGCAGGCUGGACACACCAAUGGUAGGUUCCCCACAGGGCCCCACAAGGGGCCAAGACCCAUAACAUGGGUGGCUGAGAUAAUGACACCUUCGCUUUCUGAUGGUUCAGUGUACACACGUUUUGUUUCAUGCACAAAAUUAUUAGAAAUGUUGUAUAAGAUUACCAUCAGGCUGUGUGUAUAAGGUGUAUAUGAAACAUAAAUGAAUUCCAUGUUUAGACUUGGGUCCCAUCCCCAAGAUAUCUCAUUAUGUAUAUGGAAAUAUUCCAAAAUCCUCCCCGCCAAAAAAUCUGGAACUUGAAGCACUUCUGGUCCCAAGCAUUUUGGAUAACCAAUGCUCAAACUAUACAAGUUUUCACGUGGAUGUAUGUUUUCAUUUCUCUUAGGUAUAUAUCUAUGAAUGGAGUUGCUGGGUCAUAUGGCAACUCUAUCUUUAACCUUUUGAGGAACUCCCAGACUAUUUUUCAAAGAUGUACAGUUUUACAUUCCCACCAGUAACGUACGAGGUUCCGAUUUCUCCGCAUCCUCGCCAACACUUGCUAUUGUCUCUUUUUGAUCGGAGUCAUGCUAGUCAGUGGGAAGUGGCACCUCAGUGUGGUUUUGUUUUGUAUUCCCCUGGUGGCUAAUGAGGCUGAGCAUCUUUUCAUGUUUUCAUGUGCUUGUCAUCCUUUUGCAUAUCUUCAGAGAAAUGUCCAUGUAAGUCUUUUGCUCAUUUUGAAAUUGGGUUAUUGGCCUUUUUAUUAUUGAGUGCAUAUAUUCUAGAUACAAGCCUCUUAUCAGAUACAUGACUCGGGAAUAUUUUCUUUCAUUCUGUGGGUUGCGUUUUUUUUUUUUUUUUUUAACGGAAUCUCACUCUGUCGCCCAGGCUAGAGUGCAGUGGUGUGAUUUCACCUCACUGCAACCUCCGUCUCCUGGGUUCAAGCAAUUCUCAUGCCUCAGCCUCCCAAGUAGCUGGGAUUACAGGUGUGCACCACCAUGCCCAGCUAAUUUUUGUAUUUUUAGUAGAGAUGAGGUUUCAUCAUGUUGGCCAGGCUGGUCUUGAACUCCUGACCUCAGGUGAUCCACCCAUGUUGGCCUCCGAGAGUGUUGGGAUUAUAGGUGUGAGCCACUGCACCCGGGUCUUUUCACUUUCUUGAUGGUGUCUUAAAUAAAAAGUUUUAAGCUUUGAUUAAAUCCAAUUAAUGUAUGUCUCCUUUUUUUACUACAGGACACAGCUUCUUAAUCAUACACAAAUUAAAAACCUUUUAGAAUGCCAAUUACCUAAAGAGAGGUGGUGAUAAGAUUUUUAAAGUGAGAUGUUAAGUAUGAAACUAUUUUUUAAGUUUUUAGCUUAGAGAUAAGAAGCAAUUGUUAUUUGAAAGCAGAAUGUUUAUUACACUAUGGACACGAAAAUACUUUUUUCUACUAAAUACGAGACCUACCUCCACUGAAGGAACGUGUGAUGAAAAUCCUUUAUGGAAAUGUAUAAGCAUAUUUCUGUCAAAUUAUCCUGCAGUAAAAUAGUGGCUUUGGCAUCCAUUCUUGAGUAAAAUUACAGUUUCUCUUCAUUAAUUUUAUUUUGUACCUCAUCCUGAGCACAGCUGCACUGUUGAGAGUAGGGUCAGGGUUCCCUGAAUGGUGACGUCAGGGAGACUGUUGGUGAGGAGCACUCAGGACGUCAGCUUUUCUUUUCUGAAUUGGCCAGUGAAAGUAAGGCCUAGCAAACUCUGAAAACCUUUGGAGGGAAAUAAAUGCAUGGAAGUUCAUCAGCUCUGGACUGCCAAAUGCUUCCCUGGCAGAGCUGGAGAAACAGCCCCACCCUGGGGCAGGUGGUUCAGACACGGCCAGGACUCUGUCUGCGGUUGUUGUUCCUUUUCUUCUUCUAUAGAAGUGAACGUUCCCGGGCUUGGUAAGUGUGGCCACAAAUCAAGUUGUAGAGAAAAUGAGGCCAGCCCAAAGUUUCUAGAUUCAUUAUAUCAGAGACCAUUCUUUGAAUGAACUCGAUGAUUGAAAUUGAAGAGUGAGAAAAGUAAAUGAACAAGUUCAAUUUAUGGGUGAAGUUUCUGUCCUACCCAUCUGAUGUGGGCUGAACUGUGUCCUGCUCCAACUCCCCCAGUUCCUCAGAAUGUGGCUGUGUUUAGAGACAGGGCCUUUAGAGAGGUAGUGAAAUUAAAAUUAGGUGACCACGGGGGACUCCAAUCCAAUCUGACUGGGGACUGUGUAAGAAGAGGAGAUUAGGACACAGACACGCACAGAGGGACCACCGUGUGAGGACACAGGGAGAAGACGCCAUCUACAAGCCAAGGAGGGAGGCCCCAAGGAGAAUCCAGCCCUACCCAACCCGAUCUCAGGCUUCCAGCCUCCAGAACUGUGAGAGAAUAAAUUUCUGUUGUUUAAGCUGCCCAGUCUGUGGUACUUUGUCAUGGCAGCUCUAGCAAACUAAUACUCUAUUUUUACCAACUUCUGUGGAGAGAAUUUUUUCCCUUUGGAAAUGGAAC